UCUAUUGGUGACUACUACGCCUGUGC
This 26-nucleotide non-coding RNA is filed under the name Homo sapiens (human). Lineage: Eukaryota; Metazoa; Chordata; Mammalia; Primates; Hominidae. The record is from RNAcentral.